This 699-nucleotide ribosomal RNA is filed under the name Escherichia coli. RNAcentral's name for it is "partial 23S ribosomal RNA". It matches the Rfam family "Bacterial large subunit ribosomal RNA", at positions 2180 to 2873 of the family's 2925-position model. The record is from RNAcentral. Lineage: Bacteria; Pseudomonadati; Pseudomonadota; Gammaproteobacteria; Enterobacterales; Enterobacteriaceae.
AUGGAGCCGACCUUGAAAUACCACCCUUUAAUGUUUGAUGUUCUAACGUUGACCCGUAAUCCGGGUUGCGGACAGUGUCUGGUGGGUAGUUUGACUGGGGCGGUCUCCUCCUAAAGAGUAACGGAGGAGCACGAAGGUUGGCUAAUCCUGGUCGGACAUCAGGAGGUUAGUGCAAUGGCAUAAGCCAGCUUGACUGCGAGCGUGACGGCGCGAGCAGGUGCGAAAGCAGGUCAUAGUGAUCCGGUGGUUCUGAAUGGAAGGGCCAUCGCUCAACGGAUAAAAGGUACUCCGGGGAUAACAGGCUGAUACCGCCCAAGAGUUCAUAUCGACGGCGGUGUUUGGCACCUCGAUGUCGGCUCAUCACAUCCUGGGGCUGAAGUAGGUCCCAAGGGUAUGGCUGUUCGCCAUUUAAAGUGGUACGCGAGCUGGGUUUAGAACGUCGUGAGACAGUUCGGUCCCUAUCUGCCGUGGGCGCUGGAGAACUGAGGGGGGCUGCUCCUAGUACGAGAGGACCGGAGUGGACGCAUCACUGGUGUUCGGGUUGUCAUGCCAAUGGCACUGCCCGGUAGCUAAAUGCGGAAGAGAUAAGUGCUGAAAGCAUCUAAGCACGAAACUUGCCCCGAGAUGAGUUCUCCCUGACUCCUUGAGAGUCCUGAAGGAACGUUGAAGACGACGACGUUGAUAGGCCGGGUGUGUAAG